Molecule: ribosomal RNA, 474 nt
Filed under: uncultured bacterium
Lineage: Bacteria
Description: bacterial SSU rRNA
Rfam family: Bacterial small subunit ribosomal RNA
Source: RNAcentral
ACUCCUACGGGAGGCAGCAGUGGGGAAUAUUGCACAAUGGGCGCAAGCCUGAUGCAGCCAUGCCGCGUGUGUGAAGAAGGCCUUCGGGUUGUAAAGCACUUUCAGUCGUGAGGAAGGUAGUGUAGUUAAUAGCUGCAUUAUUUGACGUUAGCGACAGAAGAAGCACCGGCUAACUCCGUGCCAGCAGCCGCGGUAAUACGGAGGGUGCGAGCGUUAAUCGGAAUUACUGGGCGUAAAGCGCAUGCAGGUGGUUUGUUAAGUCAGAUGUGAAAGCCCGGGGCUCAACCUCGGAAUUGCAUUUGAAACUGGACAGACUAGAGUACUGUAGAGGGGGGUAGAAUUUCAGGUGUAGCGGUGAAAUGCGUAGAGAUCUGAAGGAAUACCGGUGGCGAAGGCGGCCCCCUGGACAGAUACUGACACUCAGAUGCGAAAGCGUGGGGAGCAAACAGGAUUAGAUACCCUGGUAGGAUAGCG